RNAcentral lists this non-coding RNA (21 nucleotides) under Caenorhabditis elegans. The record is from RNAcentral. Lineage: Eukaryota; Metazoa; Nematoda; Chromadorea; Rhabditida; Rhabditidae.
UUUGUAUCCAGUCGAAAUUUC